UGGCGGCAGGCCUAACACAUGCAAGUCGAGCGGUAACAUUUCUAGCUUGCUAGAGAUGACGAGCGGCGGACGGGUGAGUAACGCGUAGAAAUCUACCUAGUAGUGGGGGAUAGCCCAGAGAAAUUUGGAUUAAUACCGCAUACGCCCUACGGGGGAAAGCGGGGGAUCUUUGGACCUCGUGCUAUUAGAUGAGUCUGCGUCGGAUUAGCUUGUUGGUGAGGUAAUGGCUCACCAAGGCGACGAUCCGUAGCUGGUCUGAGAGGAUGACCAGCCACACUGGAACUGAGACACGGUCCAGACUCCUACGGGAGGCAGCAGUGGGGAAUAUUGCACAAUGGGCGCAAGCCUGAUGCAGCCAUGCCGCGUGUGUGAAGAAGGCCUUAGGGUUGUAAAGCACUUUCAGCAGUGAGGAAAGGGGUGUCGUUAAUAGCGCCAUCCUGUGACGUUAACUGCAGAAGAAGGACCGGCUAACUCCGUG
RNAcentral lists this ribosomal RNA (478 nucleotides) under uncultured bacterium. Its description in RNAcentral is "bacterial SSU rRNA". It matches the Rfam family "Bacterial small subunit ribosomal RNA", at positions 37 to 507 of the family's 1533-position model. The record is from RNAcentral.